GGCUACAUCAGACAUACGACUGAUGACUUCUGUUAUUAUAUUUCUUGAACAGGUCAUAUUCAGUUGCGAUAAUGAACACAAAGUUUGUAGUACAAAUGAAGCAAUGUAAUGAAAUUGAGGUGAGACAGGUCAUAUUAAUCCGAAAAUGUGAUUUGGUACAUCAUGGAAGUAUUUAUAUAUUGGUCAAAAGCCAUAGUGAUAAGCCGUGUUAGCGCAAUGGUUUCACAGGGUAUAUAGCCUUGUAUCAGUCGACUCAACAGAACAAUCAUCAUCUUCCUAACUAUGGUUACAUGGGCUACAGCAUACAUACCAGUUGUAACGGAAACAGAAACAGUGAUUAACAUAGCCACUGAUUUACAAAAAGAUAUAUUUAAAUGUGACGCUCACGGUAAAUUUGUGACCGGCCAAAAAACUUGCAUUUUAAAGUGUACAAUUGGGUGCACAUCCGUUGGUUGUGGUCUGUUCAAAAAAUGCGAGAAGAUGACCUUUUCUGAGCCAGUAGAACCGUACGCUAGUCAAUAUAAAUGCCAUUGCAACUUAGGUGGGACUAAUCUUAGGCCUGACGAAAUGUGAAUCAAAGUGCGGUCUCAAUAAAUACCAUAAAGCAAAUGAUC
Long non-coding RNA from Bradysia coprophila, 614 nucleotides. Lineage: Eukaryota; Metazoa; Arthropoda; Insecta; Diptera; Sciaridae. The record is from RefSeq and is a predicted model, not a curated record.